Molecule: ribosomal RNA, 447 nt
Filed under: uncultured bacterium
Lineage: Bacteria
Description: bacterial SSU rRNA
Rfam family: Bacterial small subunit ribosomal RNA
Source: RNAcentral
UAGGGAAUAUUGCGCAAUGGACGAAAGUCUGACGCAGCAACACCGCGUGAAGGAUGAAGCUUUUCGGAGUGUAAACUUCUGUCGGCAGGGAAUAAUAAUGACUGUACCUGCAAAGGAAGCAUCGGCUAACUACGUGCCAGCAGCCGCGGUAAUACGUAGGAUGCAAGCGUUGUCCGGAAUUAUUGGGCGUAAAGAGUUUGUAGGCGGUUGCUUAAGUCUGUCGUUAAAGGUCGGAGCUCAACUCCGGUAUGGCGAUGGAAACUGGGCGGCUAGAGUGUGCUAGAGGUAACUGGAAUUCCAGGUGUAGCGGUGAAAUGCGUAGAUAUCUGGAGGAACACCAGUGGCGAAAGCGGGUUACUGGAGCAUUACUGACGCUGAAGACGAAAGCCAGGGUAGCAAAAGGGAUUAGAUACCCCAGUAGUCCCUGAGCGGGCUGGCAAGGCGCAU